GCUAAGAAUAUUCCGCAAUGGACGAAAGUCUGACGGAGCGACGCCGCGUGGAUGAAGAAGGCCGAAAGGUUGUAAAGUUCUUUUGUUGGGGAAGAAUAACCAUGGGAGGGAAUGCCCGUGGGAUGACAUGAACCGACGAAUAAGCCCCGGCUAACUACGUGCCAGCAGCCGCGGUAACACGUAGGGGGCGAGCGUUGUUCGGAAUUACUGGGCGUAAAGGGCAUGUAGGCGGUCUUGAAAGCUUGGCGUGAAAGAGCACGGCUCAACCGUGGGAUUGCGUUGAGAACUGCGAGGCUUGAGUGACGGAGAGGGAGCUAGAAUUCCUGGUGUAGGGGUGGAAUCUGUAGAGAUCAGGAAGAAUACCAAUGGCGAAGGCAAGCUCCUGGCCGAUGACUGACGCUGAGGUGCGAAAGUGUGGGGAUCAAACAGGAUUAGAAACCCGUGUAGUCC
Molecule: ribosomal RNA, 450 nt
Filed under: uncultured bacterium
Lineage: Bacteria
Description: partial 16S ribosomal RNA
Rfam family: Bacterial small subunit ribosomal RNA
Source: RNAcentral